RNAcentral lists this long non-coding RNA (859 nucleotides) under Cricetulus griseus (Chinese hamster). RNAcentral's name for it is "lncRNA (ENSCGRG00015040084.1)". The record is from RNAcentral. Lineage: Eukaryota; Metazoa; Chordata; Mammalia; Rodentia; Cricetidae.
AUAACACAGAAGGAAGCUGUAGUUCCUGGAAAGCCCCACAAGACAGUGACUGUGGGUUAGGGUGUACCCCUAGCGCAAGACCAUCUCCUCCCCAGCUCAGCACCAGCAAGGGAGCUGAAGCAUUUAGAAUGGUGCAAUGAUAAACCACCAGAUGACAUCCAGAUUCUCCUAGAUUUACCUUACGCCCCUAUCUACCCAACUCGAUGCUCUUUCUCUCUCAAAGAACAGAAAGAAGAAGAAGAAGAAAAAAAACCCAGAUAACCAAAGCAAACAUACAAACAAAGCAGAUCUAAUUUUAGCACUAUGAUGAAUGGCCCAGGAAUGAAUUCCACUGCCCUCCACAAAAAGGAAGAUACAUCAGACCUGCCCAGGUGUGUGUCAUUUCCUUGUCUUGGGAGCUCUCAGCUUUCAAAUGGCAGCCUGGAUUUUUCUGGAUGGAAGCUCCAUUGUGUCUGUGUUUUGGCUUGGCACCAUCGGAAGCACUUUCAAUAAGCAGGGAGUCGCUUAACUCUCACCGCAUGCCUCCGGCAAGGAAGGUCUAUCCUACGUCUGUGGAUGGAGCGUGGUGGUGGCUAGGGAUCUGCAACUGCCCAAAGUCUCAAGGCCGAUAUGGCAGCACUAGGCGUUGUAUGAACCCAGACGCUCUGAAUCAGAGUUCCAUCAAGACCAUGCCUCCUCUGCCUUAGCAGAUCAUAGCCUGACCGCAAGAAAGGCUAGAUUCUAUGUCAAGAAAGUCUACUUUAAAAGGCUGGCAAGCAUGUGGGACAUUUUGGGAAAUGUUUCUAUUAAAGAAAAAUACUUUUUUUUUUUCUUUUCUUAACAAGUGUUGGUGCCUCUAAGGGAAUAAAACGGGUUAUCA